This 836-nucleotide unclassified non-coding RNA is filed under the name Hevea brasiliensis (rubber tree). The record is from RNAcentral. Lineage: Eukaryota; Viridiplantae; Streptophyta; Magnoliopsida; Malpighiales; Euphorbiaceae.
UGGAAGUGGACUUCAUUAUAAAGUAUAAAGCUUUGACGAGGGCAAAUCGACAAAAUCAAUUAAUCCAUAUUUGUUUUUUCUAAUAAAAAAAAUCAUUGUUGCAAAUCAGAAAAUAUAGCUGAUAAAACAAGAACAGCGGAUUGAACGCCAAUCCUGCAGAUCAGCCCAAGAAAUUGCAGAAGUGGCUGAUAGGUGCCCCACGCAACUUGCAGACCUCCUAAUAUAAGCGACAAAAUAAUUAAUAAUUUCUUUAAGUAAAACUUGGCGAUUUGAGGUUAAACUACUAAAAUAAGAUAGAUCCCUGUAGAACUCAUUUACUGUCCGGACAAAAACAAGGGAAUCAUUUUCAAAAAUAAUAUUUUGCAAAGACCUCUUUUUCACCCAACUAAUGGCCUCCCGCAAAGAUAUUGCUUCUGCAACUGUUGCAUCUGGACACUAGCAUGAGAGACCUGGCAUGCAUUUAAAACUUUCCUUUCAUGAUCAUGAACUACCCAGCCUGCCCCAAUCUUCCCCACCCCAGCAAAAACAGAUGCAUCAAUGUUGCAUUCCAACAUACCAACAGCAGACUGCAUCCAACGCACGACAGAGGGAGAAUUUGCUACAAAAACUUCAAGACACAAAAUAGGCUUAGACUAAGCCUCUUUCCACUGCUGAAGAAAAGAGGACGCCUUCAAGAGAAUCUGGGUAGCCAUAGCAGGUCUCCUAUUCCAAAGCAUAUCAUUUCUAGCAAACCAAAUAACUCAAAGAGUAGCACAAAACACCAUCAGGUCCUCCUUUCUUAUAAGUCUAAAUAUUUCCUCCAACCAUGCUACAGCUCUAUUUUGAGAGAGAAUAGA